Molecule: long non-coding RNA, 2515 nt
Organism: Brassica rapa (field mustard)
Lineage: Eukaryota; Viridiplantae; Streptophyta; Magnoliopsida; Brassicales; Brassicaceae
Source: RefSeq, a predicted model, not a curated record
UUUAAAAAUCAUAUAAGUCGAAAGUAUCAUUUAAUAAGUAUUAAAAAUAAAAGAUAAAUAUAUAUAUAUAUAUAUAUGUAUAUAUAUAUAUAAUUUAAAUUAAAUUAUAUGCCAUAUAAAAGUACAUCAAUAUCUUAAUUUUAAAAUUUACUUUGAAUAAUGUUUUUGAUAAAACUUUUGAAAAAAUAUUGACAAUUUAAUUUUUAAAAAUAUUAUAAAUUAGUUAAACUAUUAAUCAUACAGUAAAAAUUUUGCUAUCAGUAAUUUAAUUUUUGUUGUUAUAACAUAUACAAUUGAUAAAAAAAACAUAUGAGUAAAAAACAUCAUUUAAUAAAUAAUAAUAUUAAAAUGUACUAUUUAUAUAUGUUACUAUCAUUUAAAUUUAAUUAUAUACCAUAUCAAUUAGAAAAACUAUUGUUUGGAUUAAUAAAAGUUAUUUAUAUGUUCGCACCAAUUUAAUUAUAUAAAUAUUAGUUACUGAAUUUUUAAUUAUUCAAUAUAUAUUUAUUAUUUCAUAAUAUGUUAGAAACAUAUAAUAUAGAAAAUCAUUUUUAUAUAAUGUUCUUAACCUAGUAGAUAGACUAAAGCUCAAAAUCCAGAGUUAAUUAACCUCAAAACGUAGUAGAUAGAUUAAAGCUUCGGUCAUCCAAUACCAAUCAUCAUCAUGUGUUGUAAAGUAUACUAGCCUUUGACCCGCGCGUCCGCGCGGAUGUAUAUGUUUUAUAUAAUUAAAUGUUUUUGUUUGUUGUAAAAACAUAAUUGUGUUUCAUAGAUUAUCUAUUGUUUGACAUUGGUGUAUAUUUGUAAUUUUGUUUAGUGUCUAUUUUUUAACUAUCAGGUUGUAUACGUCUUUUAUUGUAUAUUUUUUAAUUUUACUUGGUAACAUUUGACAUUAAAAUGAUUAAUUAUAGAGUAUUUUGUUGAGAAAAUAUGUGUUGUGGUAAAUUAUACUAUAAAUGUGGUGAGUAAAAAUUUUUGAAGACAAUAUUUAAUAUGUAUUUUUUAAAAAAUAUUUAGACAGCAUCAAUAUUAACUAAACAUUUUUAUAGACAAUCUAUAGCAAUUAUAUAUAGCAAGCUGAAAUACAUAAAUUGAAUUGGGCCUUUUGUUAUGAAUUAUAAAUAGGAAAUUCAUAUUUAAGAAAAAAGAUAUUGGACCUUAAAAAUUCAAGGAAGCCCAUAUAACUAUUAUUUCCGGGAAAAAAACAGAAAAAUAUCUUGUACGUCUCUUUUUUUGUUCCCGUAGAAAGUUCUGUGUCUUCAACCUAUCUCUUCGUCGUUGUUGCCGUUCGUUCUGCUGGCGAGAAGUGCACAAACAGCUAUGAAGUUUUCACUUAAAAGAGAGCCAGAGUCUAGAUCUACUGAUGACUACUGGAGAUUUUGGGAUACAGAGGUGUGUAAUACCAAGAACGUUCAAUCGGUUAAAUCUCCAGUCAAAAAAAAACCUCAGCCCCUUACAGAUUGGUUAAGAAUCAGGCUGAACUUUGGUUUGUUCGCGGGUAGCAGCUGAAUAUUUCGAGGACUUCGUCUCUGGCUGAGAUCUUUAUUCCUUCUUAAGGGAGAAACUGAGGGACAGGGGACAUAAGUGAUCUAUAGAAAAGCUCAGCCAGAGACAUGGUGAAGGAGAGAGAGAUAAAAAAAUGUCGUAACAUCACAUAGCAAAGGGAAGGCAACUAACCAUGUAGUAAAUCUUUAAUGGAUGUGUUCUCAUUUAAAUUCAUUCGAUCAUCAUUUAGUACUAUGAUCAUAUGCUGAUUUUGAAUUUAUUUAUUGUUGGAAGUAUAUUGGAGGUGGAGAGAACCAGUACCAGUAAUCAAGAUGCAAAAGAAAAAUGCCAACUUGUCUGGACAACAGUCUUUUUCUAAGGUUAAGCAACUGCUGGGCGUGGGGGUAUAUGGCACACUGUCUUUGAUUAAAUCGAUACCUUGCAAAGAUAAUCAGUGUCAAUUCCCAGUCGUACAUUUCCUCUUUUCCGGUUCAUCAUAUUUGGAAUACAAUGUGCGUGAGAGUGCUCUGUAUGAGGAAAAGGAUGAGAAAAAUCUUGCGUAAGAAAGAGACGUUGUCUGGAUGAGAAUAAACUCUUUUGAGCAAUCAUGUUGUUGGAGAUUAUGAAGAGAUUUGAUGAGAAGGACGUUAAUAUGCAAAGGUGAUAACGUAACAGAUGCUUUCUAUCAAAGCUGAGACAGGAUUAAUGCGUGGACAAUGACAUGGAGUUGUAGCUUUCGUUAUUUUGGGGUUUUGAUUCUGCAUACCAAGAUAAACCGAGGGAGAGAGCAAUGAAAAAUGGCGAGAAGCUGAGGAAAUGAAGGAAAAAAAAGUGAGACCUAUCAUAGAUUACUGACAAAAGCAUAGAAAGUGAAGGAGAAUUUCUUUUACAGUGUCAGAUAGUUUCUAAACGAAAAACUGCUUACAUUUCUGUGAAGCAGUUGCUGCUGUAGGUGUUUCAUCUUGAGAUAUGAGAUUCUUCAGUGUAAAAGCUGGAUAACAAAACAUAAAAUUUAUAUUGACUUCAAGUU